Molecule: long non-coding RNA, 219 nt
Filed under: Lathyrus oleraceus (garden pea)
Lineage: Eukaryota; Viridiplantae; Streptophyta; Magnoliopsida; Fabales; Fabaceae
Description: Pisum sativum (pea) long non-coding RNA (PSAT_LNC020562)
Source: RNAcentral
UUUGAUCUAUUCCCCUCCCUUUUCAUCUAAUUCCCCUUCUUUAUGCAUCCAUUUCAUUUGGCAUAUGAUAUCUCAAAGUCCUAAAGCUAGUUGAUUGAAAAAUCAACAUGAGUACGAAUGAGAUUAUGCCACCUCUUUUGCAUGUUCUUUUUGUGUGUGGUAUGUUUCAUGAGCAUAGUCCAUUAUAAUAUGUCUCUAACAUGCAUUAGCACCAAAAUU